UVAGCGUCAGCGGCGUUCGGCGUCGUCGUCGUGCACUUCUCCCCUAGUAGAACGUCGCGACCCGUUGGGUGCCGGUCGCCCUCGUUAACUCGGCCGGCUGCCCGGCGGUCGAACAUAAGGUAUCUUGCCGCAAUUUAAAUGCGUCGGGCCCGUCGCAAGCGAGGCCAGGGACCAGGUGCCGUACCCGCGGCUGGCCGGCUGUUGGCAGACGGAGUCCUUCGACGGGCAAUACACAACGAUACCGGUCUGCGACGCUACUGCUUUGGGUACUCUCAGGACCCGUCUUGAAACACGGACCAAGGAGUCUAACAUGUGCGCGAGUCAUUGGGACUGGAAGCCUAAAGGCGCAAUGAAAGUGAAGGUCGUCGACCGAGGGAGGAUGGGUCGCGUUUGCGCGCGGCUCCGCACUCCCGGGGCGUCUCGUUCUCAUUGCGAGAAGAGGCGCACCCAGAGCGUACACGUUGGGACCCGAAAGAUGGUGAACUAUGCCUGGUCAGGACGAAGUCAGGGGAAACCCUGAUGGAGGUCCGUAGCGAUUCUGACGUGCAAAUCGAUCGUCGGAACUGGGUAUAGGGGCGAAAGACUAAUCGAACCAUCUAGUAGCUGGUUCCCUCCGAAGUUUCCCUCAGGAUAGCUGGCACUCGUUCGUUUCUAAUAAAGGAGUCUCAUCUGGUAAAGCGAAUGAUUAGAGGCCUUGGGGCCGAAACGACCUCAACCUAUUCUCAAACUUUAAAUGGGUGAGAUCUCUGGCUUGCUUGAAAUAUGAAGCCACGAGAUCGGAUCAGAGUGCCAAGUGGGCCAAUUUUGGUAA
This 811-nucleotide ribosomal RNA is filed under the name Polybia liliacea. RNAcentral describes it as "partial large subunit ribosomal RNA". Lineage: Eukaryota; Metazoa; Arthropoda; Insecta; Hymenoptera; Vespidae. The record is from RNAcentral.